RNAcentral lists this ribosomal RNA (289 nucleotides) under Ralstonia solanacearum. RNAcentral's name for it is "partial 16S ribosomal RNA". It matches the Rfam family "Bacterial small subunit ribosomal RNA", at positions 74 to 358 of the family's 1533-position model. Lineage: Bacteria; Pseudomonadati; Pseudomonadota; Betaproteobacteria; Burkholderiales; Burkholderiaceae. The record is from RNAcentral.
GGUAUCUUGCUACCUGCCGGCGAGUGGCGAACGGAUGAGUAAUACAUCGGAACGUGCCCUGUAGAGGGGGAUAACUAGUCGAAAGACUAGCUAAUGCCGCAUACGACCUGAGGGUGAAAGUGGGGGACCGCAAGGCCUCAUGCUAUAGGAGCGGCCGAUGUCUGAUUAGCUAGUUGGUGGGGUAAAGGCCCACCAAGGCGACGAUCAGUAGCUGGUCUGAGAGGACGAUCAGCCACACUGGGACUGAGACACGGCCCAGACUCCUACGGGAGGCAGAAGUGGGCCCAAA